UACGUAGGGGGCUAGCGUUGUCCGGAUUUAUUGGGCGUAAAGAGCGUGUAGGCGGCCAGAUAGGUCUGCUGUGAAAACUCGAGGCUCAACCUUCAGAGGUCGACCCAAACCCCCUGGCUAGAGUCCGGAAGAGGAGAGUGGAAUUCCUGGUGUAGCGGUGAAAUGCGCAGAUAUCAGGAAGAACACCCGUGGCGAAGGCGGCUCUCUGGGACGGUACUGACGCUGAGGCACGAAAGCGUGGGGAGCAAACAGG
RNAcentral lists this ribosomal RNA (253 nucleotides) under uncultured bacterium. RNAcentral's name for it is "partial 16S ribosomal RNA". It matches the Rfam family "Bacterial small subunit ribosomal RNA", at positions 524 to 776 of the family's 1533-position model. The record is from RNAcentral.